This 1162-nucleotide long non-coding RNA is filed under the name Coturnix japonica (Japanese quail). RNAcentral's name for it is "lncRNA (ENSCJPG00005015505.1)". Lineage: Eukaryota; Metazoa; Chordata; Aves; Galliformes; Phasianidae. The record is from RNAcentral.
UCUGAAUCAAGCUCUAUCAGACCGAGCCCCGCUCUCCUCAUUCCCAUUGAAUUCCAUCACACUCCAUAAGCAUCUUAUCAAGAGCUACAGGAGGCCCUAACAGCUUGACAUGAAAUUUCUCUAAGUGCUCCUUUCUAGGGAGCUGCAGGCACGAAGAGGAGCUGAAUGCCUCCCAACCCCUCACCAAACACCACUCAGAGAGAAGGGCCACACCACUUUGCUCGAGUGCAGGUAGGAGUGAUGCUCCAUCGGGACAAAGGAGCUCGUUAUGGAGCAGGGCUCAGCGCUGCCCCAAGGGUUAAUUAGCAGCAUCCUUUGCCUUUGGAGGUGUUCAUCUAAGUGCUUCCUUGGUGAGGGGCAGCCCGUCUUUGUUGCCUGGAUACAGCCGUGCUGGGGGGGUUGGGGUUGGUACCUGGAGCUUCGUUAGGGAGGAUGGCAGCAGGAGCUGAGAUCUGACUGCGAUGUAAAUGAUCACCCGGGGCAGCCCCGAGGCAGAGCGGCUGCCUGUUACCAUCAGCCACACAUCACAUCCAAGAGCUGACAAGACAAAUAAGGAUGAAUGAACCCUGAAUCAGACAUCAAUAACUGCCUGACAUUCCUGGAGAUCUCUGCAUGCUCCCUCGUUCAACCUUUACACCAAAGAAGAAUGACGUGAAAGGCAUCUGUGUUCAUCUGUUAAAACAGAUCCUCCAAACGCAUUCCCAUCGCCAUCGCGGUGCAAGAAGUGACUUGGAGCAAAAGCAGAACAAAAAGCCUUCUGUGCAAGAAUACAAUGAGUAAUGAACUUCAAGUCGUAUCUGCACGAAGGAUUGCCGAGAUGGGUAUUGUUUUUCCAUAUGACCUGUUUUUUCCUAAUGAUUGUGUUUCUCCUGGCUCUGAUUCUAUAAACAGCAGCACCUCUCCCCUUUGCUUGCUUAAGAGGAGGUUUGUUUAAUCUUUGACAUUUCCUAUCUCACAGGGUUCUUCGCAAGCGUCGCACAAUAGAGCCUUGUUGGUCUCAGUUUAAUUAAACACAAUUACUUUGCUUUAUGUAGCAGAGGAAGUGACACUUUAAAAAGUUCCAGCUCGGUCCCUUUUCUACUUGAGAAAGCAGCACAGCGUCAGUGAAUAAUUAAAACAUACACGUCGUCAGAAUUAAUUAGCGUCUCAAUGCUUUCAAGUG